This 253-nucleotide ribosomal RNA is filed under the name uncultured bacterium. RNAcentral's name for it is "partial 16S ribosomal RNA". It matches the Rfam family "Bacterial small subunit ribosomal RNA", at positions 524 to 776 of the family's 1533-position model. The record is from RNAcentral.
UACAGAGGUCUCAAGCGUUGUUCGGAUUCAUUGGGCGUAAAGCGCGUGUAGGCGGCUGUUCAAGUUGGGCGUGAAAGCCUUGGGCUUAACCCAAGAAAUGCGCUCAAUACUGGAUAGCUAGAGGACCGGAGAGGAUAGUGGAAUUCCCAGUGUAGUGGUGAAAUACGUAGAGAUUGGGAAGAACACCAGUGGCGAAGGCGGCUAUCUGGACGGUUUCUGACGCUAAGACGCGAAAGCGUGGGGAGCAAACAGG